RNAcentral lists this ribosomal RNA (279 nucleotides) under uncultured bacterium. RNAcentral's name for it is "partial 16S ribosomal RNA". It matches the Rfam family "Bacterial small subunit ribosomal RNA", at positions 506 to 784 of the family's 1533-position model. The record is from RNAcentral.
UGCCAGCCUCCGCUGUACUACUGAUUGGGUUAUCGUUGUUCGGAAUUACUGGGCGUAAAGCGCACGUAGGCGGAUUGGAAAGUUGGGGGUGAAAUCCCGGGGCUUAACCCCGGAACUGCCCUCAAAACUGUCGAUCUAGAGACCGGGAGAGGUAAGCGGAAUUCCUAGUGUAGAGGUGAAAUUCGUAGAUAUUAGGAAGAACACCAGUGGCGAAGGCGGCUUACUGGACCGGUACUGACGCCGAGGUACGAAAGCGUGGGGAGCGAACAGGAUUAGAUA